Long non-coding RNA from Maniola jurtina (meadow brown), 441 nucleotides. RefSeq lists it as uncharacterized. NCBI's taxonomy places the organism in Eukaryota, Metazoa, Arthropoda, Insecta, Lepidoptera, Nymphalidae. The transcript is spliced from 2 exons. The record is from RefSeq and is a predicted model, not a curated record.
UCAGACAUUAAUCUUGUAAACCCUCUUCACUCCAUACUUAACCCAAAAUAAUAAGAUUAUAUUUAUUCAACCAUUAUGAAAGUACACAUUUGUACACUUAUUGCCGUACUUUUAUUUGCUGGCUUUUUGGACCAUGCCAUGACCCAGAUUCCGAACUUUAUGGCAUGCGCCAACAAUGAAGAGUGCGAAGACAUCUGCUACUCCCGCUGUGAAGAACCAAAUGAGGCUCUCUGUAAUCAAUUUGAUGUCUACUCUAUAAUAUGCGUGUGUGGUCCAAUACUUGUCGAUUAAGCUGGUCAUGAGUCAUGACAGACGCAUACUUGGUUAACAUGAAUUUUGUGCACCCACACGUGUACAUCCUAUAGAUAUUUAUUUUAUUAAGAUCAAAAUGUUCACCAUUGCGUGAUAGAUGUAAUAAUAUAAUAUACUUAUGUUGCUUCA